CCUAAAAUAGCGGCUGAUCCCGGUGCAGCUGCUGCGGUCGGUCAGACCUUCUGGCUGUUUCUGCCUCCGAACCUCCGUCUGAUCCGAGCGGACCCGGAGGAGGAGCGACACGGAGGCGGACAUGGCGGUGCACAGCCCGGGACCACCACCGCUCCGCUCCCCCGGGGACCAACUUUCUCCGAUUCUGCGAUAAAAUGAAGUAAAAGUCGCGGAAAACCGAUGCUGCUGCGUUUCGGUGCGUAAAACUCUCCGAACUUUGCCGGCAGAUUUCCAAAAGAAGGACGGCUUUUCCAAGGAAAUUAAGCGGCUGUGUUCAGGUGAACAGCCCGCGGAUCCCCCGCCUCUGCUGGGAACACCGUGUUCACGGAGUUCCUCCAACUUCUCCACCAAGAAAAAACACAUGAAGGGGUUCAUUCAUCAGCUUCUGAUUAGAAAUUAGGAAGUGUGGAGGAUUCUUUACAGGAAGUGAUGAAAAAUCUUCUGGUACAACAGGUAACAAUCAGAGGUUUUUACAGUGAAUCUCAAACUAUUGUCAUUAAAGAAAUGAAUGGAUGAAUUAAUAAAUCACCGAAUAAUGAACCAGACUUGUAAAAAUUAAGAUAAAACUGGAAAUAAAUAAAAGUAUUUAAACUAAAAUCAAUAGUUUAUAUUAUUCAGUUAUUUCAGACUCAUUUUCAGCUCUUUAAAUUGAACCUGAAAUCUGAUUGGCUAACCCCCACAGGAAGUCCACUUCUGUAAAGUCAAAUUAAAUCUAUUUUCCUGUUUAUUUUUUGUUUUAUUUUCUCUGCACUUUAAUUGCCGCUCCGUCCUGCCGGUGGACAGACGCGGUGACGAGGGUGCGAACAGCAACCGGUGGCUCCUCCUCUCUGACUCGCUCACUUUUACCUGCCAGAUGUUUGGAGGUGAAACAAACUCCACCACACUGAAAAACUGAGCUACGUCUGAUUCUGAUCAAUUUAAAGUCUGAGGAAAAAAGAAACACAGCCUUUUGUUUAGUGGAUGUAUUUAAUCUCUUUGCUUUGUCUAACGUGAACUGAAAAGACUCUUAUCUGAACGCGGAACAUUUCAGUUUCAUGUUACAUGAAGCUGAAACGUACGGCAGCGUAUUAGAGCCGUUGUAGACAGAAAAAAAUUAAGAGGAGUAAAUUUGCUCCAAAAUAAAAAAACAGACAUUUUGAGAUUAAUCCUAUAAAUUUUCUAAGAAAUAGUAAGAUAUUUCUGAAUUGAAAAAGUCCAAAUUUCUUG
Molecule: long non-coding RNA, 1245 nt
Organism: Poecilia latipinna (sailfin molly)
Lineage: Eukaryota; Metazoa; Chordata; Actinopteri; Cyprinodontiformes; Poeciliidae
Exons: 3
Source: RefSeq, a predicted model, not a curated record